This 465-nucleotide ribosomal RNA is filed under the name Vreelandella stevensii. Its description in RNAcentral is "partial 16S ribosomal RNA". It matches the Rfam family "Bacterial small subunit ribosomal RNA", at positions 338 to 795 of the family's 1533-position model. The record is from RNAcentral. Lineage: Bacteria; Pseudomonadati; Pseudomonadota; Gammaproteobacteria; Oceanospirillales; Halomonadaceae.
CCUACGGGUGGCUGCAGUGGGGAAUAUUGGACAAUGGGCGAAAGCCUGAUCCAGCCAUGCCGCGUGUGUGAAGAAGGCCUUCGGGUUGUAAAGCACUUUCAGUGGGGAAGAAAGCCUUGGGGCUAAUACCCUCGAGGAAGGACAUCACCCACAGAAGAAGCACCGGCUAACUCCGUGCCAGCAGCCGCGGUAAUACGGAGGGUGCGAGCGUUAAUCGGAAUUACUGGGCGUAAAGCGCGCGUAGGCGGUCUGAUAAGCCGGUUGUGAAAGCCCCGGGCUCAACCUGGGAACGGCAUCCGGAACUGUCAGGCUAGAGUGCAGGAGAGGAAGGUAGAAUUCCCGGUGUAGCGGUGAAAUGCGUAGAGAUCGGGAGGAAUACCAGUGGCGAAGGCGGCCUUCUGGACUGACACUGACGCUGAGGUGCGAAAGCGUGGGUAGCAAACAGGAUUAGAUACCCUUGGUGUC